UUCUCCUAGGAAAAGAAAUUGGAGUUUUGAAUAUUAUUUUGAUCUGCGGAAGUAAUAAAUUUCAGAUUUUUUUAUUUGAUUCAAUUAAUCAGGUUUGCUAUUUCACGUUUAUUUCUGGAUUUCUGUCAUCUAUAUAUGCAAUUAGGAUUUCGAUUUUGUUGUUUUGCAAUCUAUCUAUCUAUCGAUUCAUCCACCACCAGUUGAUGGGUCUUCGACAGUCCGCCGCUCCUGUUUCUGCGAUGACUGGAUCGGGUUCUUCUGAUUUUCCUUGUGCGUUUUUAGGGUUUCAAACGUUAUGGUUCUUUUCUCGGUUUGUAUGUCCUUGGAUUUUUGGCACUUCUAAUGCAUUGAUUAAGUGGAUUAUUCUGAUGGUUUUUAAGACGUUCUUGGAUACGAUAAGGCUGAUAACUAAUAGGGCAUCCUCUGCUUAUAAAUUUGAAUUGUGAGCUCUACCGUUGUGGUUACAAUUGGUAUCCAAGUAUGCUUCCUUCCUUCUGGCGAUGAUCUUCAUUGCGGAAAGGGCGACCUGGAGAUGGGUACUCCCAGUUGAAAACUGAUUCCGUGAAAUCUCCAGGAAUAUGAGCCGACGUAAUAAGGUGUAGAUGUUGUUAUGAAAGGAUGGGUGGAAUGUAAUAAUUCUUAUUGUAUUCCACAUUGCUAAGCUGAGACUUGGUUUCUAGAAUUAUAACCAAUUAGGCACCCUCUCCCUACAAACCGGCAUCCUCUCCCUACAAACCAGUUGAAGGGCGAGGAGUUCUACCCAAUGUGGUGGGUACAGAAAAUUUAUUUUUUGUUGUUGCCCAUUUAGGAUUCUAAUUCUGUAGUUUUUAAUCAGUCUGUAAGUCGGGUAUUCAACAAUAGGAGGGUUUUCUGGCACUUAUUUUGGGUUUCACGGAAUCAGAAAUUUAAGGUUUCUGCUACCUAAAAAGAGUUGGUUUUCUGGAAAUUCCAGGCUACAGUAAAAGUUUGACUAUUGUUGCCUCUCAAUUAGAGUUCUGAUUCACUGGUUUUUAUAUGUUCUUUUCAUUUGCUGGAGGUAUUUUAUCUAGUUUUUGUUAAUAGAAUCUCAGUUAUUGGUUGAGACAGCCACGGAUGGUAUUGAAGUGGAUGGUUUUUUGACCUGUUUCUACUUAGCCUUCAAUGUAGUUGGAUUUUAGAGCUCAGCGUUUUCACAUUUGGAUACUUGUUCAUUUGUGGCUUGCCGCAGAGGAAACGUCUUUGGAGAUCAGAAAUUUGAAUUUGAUGGAUGUACUGUGCUGGAAUUUUGCAUUUGGAUUUCCUAUCUUGGCAAGAAAGAGAUUGUUGUAUGAAUUGAUUAACCUGUAAUUUGUUGUGUGUAUAGUAUUAUAAUGGCGGUCAAGGCUGCAAGGGAAGUCUCUGUCUCCAAUCGACUUGAAGGAGGAUUUCUGAAAAACAGAGUCUGUGUCUACUGGCUUUCUGGGAGAUGCAAUCGGAAUCCAUGCAGGUUCAUGCACAGAGAAUCACCACCAAUCCCGCAAACUAAGCAGAUCCAUUCAGCAUCACCUGAGGAAAGUCAUUACCUAAAAUCCAGCAGAAGGACCUGGAGGAAUACUAACUCUAGUACUCCCAAGAAUGUUACACUUUUAACUAACAGAGGGGCUGGGUCCAAGCGUACAAGUGGUGAAGUUUCCCAACAGGAGGUCCUAGCAAAGAAUGAAAGAAAAAUUGAUCGGAUGGACCAAGAAAUGGUCGUAACCUCCAAAGAAAGUAUCCACUGCCAGCAGACCGUGCAAAAGGCUUUGACCACUGAAUCAGUUGAAUCGGAUAGAAAACCCGUUCAAAAAAUCCAGCCAAACGUAUGCAAGUAUUGGGUUACAGCAAAUUGUGUCCAUGGCGAUAAUUGCAAGGACAUACACUCUUGGUACUGUGGAUCUGGAUUCACAAUGUUGACGAAGUUAGAGGGACACACUAAGGUGCUCAUCUGAUAACAUUGUUUUUUAUUAUUUUCAAAUCAUGUUUAACCUGUUAGUAACUUUUCUCUAUUUUUACACUCUUAUUGGUACUGCUCUUCUUUUAUACUGUUUUUAUUAAAUGCUUUAAGAAACUAUUGCAUACAAUUCUAACAAUAAUUCUUUCUAAUGGAAUUUGUACAGACCAUAACUGGAAUUGCUCUCCCUUCUGGUUCUGACAAGCUAUAUACUGUUAGUAAAGAUAGAACUAUCCGCAUUUGGGACUGCAACAGUGGUCAGGUGGGGAUAAUUUUACUUUCUCUCGUUUAAAAUGUGACAUUGGGUAAAUCAGAUGUGUGAUCAAUAAUUUGGUAUUCCAUCAUUAAUGCAGAGUGCUGGUGCUGUUGAUCUCGAUGGUGAAGUUGGGUGCUUGAUUAGUGAAGGUCCAUGGUUGUUUGCUGGAUUACCGAAGGCUAUUAAGGUAACUGAUGUUCUUCAUGUGGUUAUAUCCAAUCAUAACGGAUUAGUAUUUGUUCAAUUUUUUAGUCUAGUCAAUCCCGUAUUUAUCAUUAUGGAUUUUAUCAUGAUGAAUUUUUUUAUCAUUUAGGCAUGGAACUUCCAAGUUCAAGCUGAACUGUCUCUUAGAGGACCUGUUGGGCAAGUUUAUUCUAUGGUUAUGGACAACGAUAUGCUUUUUGCUGGAACGGAGGUAACUACUACUAGAGGUUUUCAGUGUUUUGCUAUUUUUUAAUUGUAAUUUUGGAUCUGUACAGAAUUGCGAUAACAGUAAUCAGUGGUAGGGUAGUAGUUAAAGGUUGAGGAAGAUUUGGGAAAAGGUUACUCCCUAAAGUUUUGCAUCGUCUUGUUGAAUAUUAACUCUAUUGUGGUUUCUCAUUUUUAUGUAUCUUAAUGGUUCCAGGAAGGUACCAUAUUAGUAUGGAAAUGUGGUACUGAAACCAACAUUCCAGAAUUGACUGCACAGAUGAAGGGACAUACUGGUGCUGUGUGUUCACUUGUACUGGGAGCUAACAGCAGACUUUAUUCGGGUUCGAGUGACAAUACAAUACGGGUAUGCUCUCUUUCAGGAGAAUUAUUUUCACAACCUCUCACAUUUGAACGUGUUUAUAAUCUCUCCAAGUCAGUAGAUAGUAGAGAUGAAUCAUCUAACUAUGUUGGCAAUUUACACGUCAACUUGUUGACCUAUGCCAUAUAUAUAUAUAUCAAAAACAGUUGGUCUGUUAGGUACGCAGUUGUCAGUAAUGUUGACAGAGUCAGGAGUCAGGACCAUUGUUUGAUCUGUCUAGUCAAUUUUAUUUGUGUUCCCUCAAGUUAUAUUUCGAGCACCUGUUUUCAUAGUUGGAGUCUCUACAAGUUUUUCAUCCUCUCCUUCCUCCUCCAUUUGUUUUAUUCCUUCUCUUUAUAUAGUCCAGUGUUUUGAAUUCACAGAAGAAUUUUGCUUACAUAUAUGCUCUCUUUCCAGGUUUGGGACCUCCAAACGUUGCAGUGUACGCAGACAUUAAAUGGGCAUGCCCGAGAUGUAACGUCCGUUAUUUGUUGGGACAGCUACUUGUUAUCUGCUUCUCUGGACAACACAUUAAAGGUUUGGCUGUUCACUGCUUGGAUCAGUAGUUAGAUGUUGCUUUAGUUCUUGCUGGUUCUAAUAUAUCCCUUUCUUAUAGGUUUGGGCUGCAACUGACAGUGGGAACUUGGAAGUGAUCUAUGAGCACAAAGAAGAACAUGUAAGUUAAAAAUGGUUUUUAUAUGACUUCCUUGGAAUGCAUUAUAUGGUUUUAGACUCCUCACGCUUUCUAGAAAUUUUACAUCUUUCAGGGGGUGGUAGCUCUUUUCGGCAUGACAGAUGCUGAAGCUCACUCAAUUCUUUUCUGCUCAUAUAAUGACAAUACUGUUCGUAUAUAUGACUUGCCCUCGUUAGUAUCAUCAAACUACGAUCAUCUCUGUUGAUAUGAUUCACCCAUUUGUGCUGGUCUGUUGAUGGUUUUAAUUUUGGUUUUAGGUUUAAUGAAAGGGGCAGAAUAUUUUCUAAACAGCAAGUCCAAGUGAUUCAAAUUGGCAUUGGUGGUCUCUUUUUCACUGGUGAUGCAGCAGGACAGCUCUCCGUCUGGAAAUUGCUUGGAGUUCCAUGUGCAAUGGCAUCUUGAGUCGAUUUGAUCUGAACUACUAGCUGAAACUAUUGAUUCGUAUUUUUUAUUGCUGGCAUCCUCAUACUGAUGCAAGAUGAGCCCUUUCUAGAAAUAUUCUCAUAUCUGAUGUAUUUUUGGUAGAAAAAGCUACUGUGUAUUGUAAUACACGUUAGGGCAGCGAAUAUCAGUUUCCAACGAGAAAGACUGUUGUUAUCUUGUUUUGAGAGGGGCACUAAUCCUUUAAAUCUGGUACCAAGGGAAUUCGUUGGCAAUAUGCCUACGCUGAUUCAAAUUCAGCUCGGCCCAAUAUAAUGAGGCUACUAUGAAAUAUUUACUCAUGGGUGGGGAUCUCAUCCGAAUCGCCCCAUCUAUCCUCCUGAGGAGAAGUUUGGCUUCAAACCGCCGCAGCCCGCCAAUUAGUUAACCAUAGACAUUAAGAGAGGAAGACCCUUGUAUAUUGUCACUUGCUUCACAAUGUUAAAAAUCAUUUUUUUUUUCAUUUUUUUUCACAUCCAUGGGUUGGAGCAAUGUUUCUUCCAUGCUUUGUGUUGUGCUUCUCAAUUUUGUUUACAUGAUAGCUAAACAGCGUCUAAUUUUCUUAUUGACUCCAUUUUGUGUCUAUUCUUGAAUAGUUCUGUACUUGAUGUAUAUCUAGAUAGCGAAUUUGGUUAGGUUUCUCUAUAGUUGGAUGAUUAGGUUAUGUUCAUGAGCUUUCAAGAUGCUAC
RNAcentral lists this long non-coding RNA (4776 nucleotides) under Olea europaea subsp. europaea. The record is from RNAcentral. Lineage: Eukaryota; Viridiplantae; Streptophyta; Magnoliopsida; Lamiales; Oleaceae.